This 381-nucleotide ribosomal RNA is filed under the name uncultured eukaryote. RNAcentral describes it as "partial 18S ribosomal RNA". It matches the Rfam family "Eukaryotic small subunit ribosomal RNA", at positions 592 to 976 of the family's 1831-position model. The record is from RNAcentral.
CAAUAGCGUAUAUUAAAGCUGUUGCGGUUAAAAAGCUCGUAGUUGGAUUUCUGUUAAGGACAACUGGUCCGCCCUCCGGGUGAGCACAUAGUUUGGUCUUGGCAUCUUGCUGGAAACUGUUGCUGCGCUUGGUUGUGUGGUGCAGCUUUCAGCACUUUCACUUUGAGGAAAUUGGAGUGUUUCAAGCAGGCACAUGCCUUUGGACACAGUAGCAUGGAAUAAUUAGAUUGGGCUUUUGCUCCAACUUGUUGGUUCCUGGAGCUGAGGUGAGAAUCAAUGGGGAUUGUUGGGGGCAUCCGAAUUUAGCCGUCAGAGGUGAAAUUCUUGGAUCUGCUAAAGACGGACAACUGCGAAAGCGUUUGCCCAGGAUGUUUUCAUUGA